Ornithodoros turicata is the source of this 682-nucleotide long non-coding RNA. RefSeq lists it as uncharacterized. The record is from RefSeq and is a predicted model, not a curated record. NCBI's taxonomy places the organism in Eukaryota, Metazoa, Arthropoda, Arachnida, Ixodida, Argasidae. The transcript has 3 exons.
UCGCAGAAGAGCAUGCAGAGCCUCAUUCGCAGGGUGUCGACAAGGUGGGGUAUUUUAUUGCCCUUUGGAGUCUCAUUGGCGCUUUUGUCAGGACGAGAAGUCUUUUCAUUGGAGCUUUACAAGCACGUCAAAGGGAGUCUCUCUCUGAUGCGAAAACAAUGCGGGAGAUUUUCUUUUCAGAUCGGCGCCUUAUCUUCACUGGCGAAGCUUAUCCUGCAUAUUGAUGCGUCUGAAGACUGAGAUGAAUAUGAAGGAAUGAAGAACGGCUGCAGCAAAGUGGUGAUAUAUUCAGGGAUGAAUCAGUCGGCGCUGUGCUGCUUUCUUUUUUUUCUUUUUUUUCAUAUAAUCAAUAAUUAAGUUCAAAUAAUCAGUUUCAUUAUACUCUUUCUUGUUUGGUGAUGGUUGUGGCAGUGGAAACAGCUUGCUUCUUUCUUGUUUGGUACCGUGGUAGGUCACAUCGAUACCCCACCACCACCACACACACACAUCGUCAUCCAGGUAUACGCGAAUAUGGGAGGCAUGUGGAGGCUUUGCUGGGAGCUGGGAUGAUAUACCACCCCUCCGUGCUUGGGAUUCUGGAUAAACCACUGCACCCAUGCCUGCUGGACUUCUGGAACUUCUGGACCUGAUACACGCUUCCGGUCAGGAUAUCCAACGGGUCAAGAGAUCCACCGAGUCAGGA